GACGAACGCUGGCGGCGUGCUUAACACAUGCAAGUCGAACGGAAAGGCCCUGCUUUUGUGGGGUGCUCGAGUGGCGAACGGGUGAGUAACACGUGAGUAACCUGCCCUUGACUUUGGGAUAACUUCAGGAAACUGGGGCUAAUACCGGAUAGGAGCUCCUGCUGCAUGGUGGGGGUUGGAAGGUUUCGGCGGUUGGGGAUGGACUCGCGGCUUAUCAGCUUGGUGGUGGGGUAGUGGCUUACCAAGGCUUUGACGGGUAGCCGGCCUGAGAGGGUGACCGGCCACAUUGGGACUGAGAUACGGCCCAGACUCCUACGGGAGGCAGCAGUGGGGAAUAGUGCACUAUGGGCGGAAGCCUGAUGCAGCAACGCCGCGUGCGGGAUGACGGCCUUCGGGUUGUAAACCGCUUUCGCCUGUGACGAAGCGUGAGUGACGGUAAUGGGUAAAGAAGCACCGGCUAACUACGUG
This 468-nucleotide ribosomal RNA is filed under the name uncultured bacterium. RNAcentral describes it as "partial 16S ribosomal RNA". It matches the Rfam family "Bacterial small subunit ribosomal RNA", at positions 28 to 507 of the family's 1533-position model. The record is from RNAcentral.